CGACCUUGCCUAGUGGGGGGGGAUAGCCGGCCCAACGGCCGGGUAAUACCGCAUAGGGUAGUCUGGUUGCAUGACUGGACUAGCAAAGCUGCUCAGCAAUGGGUGGCACCACAGGGGGGCUCGCGGCCUAUCAGCUAGUUGGGGGGGUAAUGGCCCACCAAGGCGACGACGGGUAGCUGGUCUGAGAGGAUGGCCAGCCACAUUGGGACUGAGAGACGGCCCAG
RNAcentral lists this ribosomal RNA (224 nucleotides) under uncultured bacterium. RNAcentral's name for it is "partial 16S ribosomal RNA". It matches the Rfam family "Bacterial small subunit ribosomal RNA", at positions 122 to 334 of the family's 1533-position model. The record is from RNAcentral.